UAACACGUAGGUAACCUGCCCCAAAGCGGGGGAUAACAUUUGGAAACAGAUGCUAAUACCGCAUAACAAUUUGAAUCGCAUGAUUCAAAUUUAAAAGAUGGUUUCGGCUAUCACUUUGGGAUGGACCUGCGGCGCAUUAGCUUGUUGGUAGGGUAACGGCCUACCAAGGCUGUGAUGCGUAGCCGAGUUGAGAGACUGAUCGGCCACAAUGGAACUGAGACACGGUCCAUACUCCUACGGGAGGCAGCAGUAGGGAAUCUUCCACAAUGGGCGCAAGCCUGAUGGAGCAACACCGCGUGAGUGAAGAAGGGUUUCGGCUCGUAAAGCUCUGUUGUUAGAGAAGAACGUGCGUGAGAGCAACUGUUCACGCAGUGACGGUAUCUAACCAGAAAGUCACGGCUAACUACGUGCCAGCAGCCGCGGUAAUACGUAGGUGGCAAGCGUUAUCCGGAUUUAUUGGGCGUAAAGCGAGCGCAGGCGGUUUGAUAAGUCUGAUGUGAAAGCCUUUGGCUUAACCAUAGAAGUGCAUCGGAAACUGUCAGACUUGAGUGCAGAAGAAGACAGUGGAAACUCCCUGUGUAGCGGUGGAAUGCGUAGAUAUAUGGAAGAACACCA
RNAcentral lists this ribosomal RNA (615 nucleotides) under uncultured bacterium. RNAcentral describes it as "bacterial SSU rRNA". It matches the Rfam family "Bacterial small subunit ribosomal RNA", at positions 111 to 711 of the family's 1533-position model. The record is from RNAcentral.